CGAGACGACGCUGGCGGCGUGCUUAACACAUGCAAGUCGAACGGUGACCCAGGGCUUGCCCUGGUGAUCAGUGGCGAACGGGUGAGUAACACGUGGACAACCUGCCCCUGACUUCGGGAUAACUCCUCGAAAGAGGAGCUAAUACCGGAUACGACCACUUCGGACAUCCGAUGGUGGUGGAAAGUUUUUCGGUCAGGGAUGGGCCCGCGGCCUAUCAGCUAGUUGGUGGGGUAAUGGCCUACCAAGGCGACGACGGGUAGCCGGCCUGAGAGGGCGACCGGCCACACUGGGACUGAGACACGGCCCAGACUCCUACGGGAGGCAGCAGUGGGGAAUAUUGCGCAAUGGGCGAAAGCCUGACGCAGCGACGCCGCGUGAGGGAUGAAGGCCUUCGGGUUGUAAACCUCUUUCAGCAGGGACGAAGCGAAAGUGACGGUACCUGCAGAAGAAGCACCGGCUAACUACGUG
This 468-nucleotide ribosomal RNA is filed under the name uncultured bacterium. RNAcentral describes it as "bacterial SSU rRNA". It matches the Rfam family "Bacterial small subunit ribosomal RNA", at positions 33 to 507 of the family's 1533-position model. The record is from RNAcentral.